RNAcentral lists this ribosomal RNA (373 nucleotides) under uncultured bacterium. RNAcentral's name for it is "bacterial SSU rRNA". It matches the Rfam family "Bacterial small subunit ribosomal RNA", at positions 525 to 896 of the family's 1533-position model. The record is from RNAcentral.
ACGUAGGGGGCAAGCGUUGUCCGGAUUUAUUGGGCGUAAAGAGCGUGUAGGCGGCCAGGUAGGUGGGUUGUGAAAACUGGAGGCUCAACCUUCAGACGUCGACCCAAACCCCCUGGCUAGAGUCCGGAAGAGGAGAGUGGAAUUCCUGGUGUAGCGGUGAAAUGCGCAGAUAUCAGGAAGAACACCCGUGGCGAAGGCGGCUCUCUGGGACGGUACUGACGCUGAGACGCGAAAGCGUGGGGAGCGAACAGGAUUAGAUACCCUGGUAGUCCACGCCGUAAACGAUGGGUGCUAGGUGUGGGGGGUGUCAACUCCCUCCGUGCCGAAGCUAACGCAUUAAGCACCCCGCCUGGGGAGUACGGCCGCAAGGCUA